RNAcentral lists this ribosomal RNA (809 nucleotides) under Bacillus sp. (in: firmicutes). Its description in RNAcentral is "bacterial SSU rRNA". It matches the Rfam family "Bacterial small subunit ribosomal RNA", at positions 59 to 849 of the family's 1533-position model. Lineage: Bacteria; Bacillati; Bacillota; Bacilli; Caryophanales; Bacillaceae. The record is from RNAcentral.
AAGUCGAGCGGAUCUUUGGGAGCUUGCUCCCAAAGGUUAGCGGCGGACGGGUGAGUAACACGUGGGCAACCUGCCUGUAAGACUGGGAUAACUUCGGGAAACCGGAGCUAAUACCGGAUAACAUAAGAGACCACAUGGUCUCCUAUUAAAAGAUGGCCUCGGCUAUCACUUACAGAUGGGCCCGCGGCGCAUUAGCUAGUUGGUGAGGUAACGGCUCACCAAGGCGACGAUGCGUAGCCGACCUGAGAGGGUGAUCGGCCACACUGGGACUGAGACACGGCCCAGACUCCUACGGGAGGCAGCAGUAGGGAAUCUUCCGCAAUGGACGAAAGUCUGACGGAGCAACGCCGCGUGAGCGAAGAAGGCCUUCGGGUCGUAAAGCUCUGUUGUUAGGGAAGAACAAGUAUCGUUCGAAUAGGGCGGUACCUUGACGGUACCUAACCAGAAAGCCACGGCUAACUACGUGCCAGCAGCCGCGGUAAUACGUAGGUGGCAAGCGUUAUCCGGAAUUAUUGGGCGUAAAGCGCGCGCAGGCGGUCCUUUAAGUCUGAUGUGAAAGCCCACGGCUCAACCGUGGAGGGUCAUUGGAAACUGGGGGACUUGAGUGCAGAAGAGGAGAGCGGAAUUCCACGUGUAGCGGUGAAAUGCGUAGAGAUGUGGAGGAACACCAGUGGCGAAGGCGGCUCUCUGGUCUGUAACUGACGCUGAGGCGCGAAAGCGUGAGGAGCGAACAGGAUUAGAUACCCUGGUAGUCCACGCCGUAAACGAUGAGUGCUAAGUGUUAGAGGGUUUCCGCCCUUUAGUGCUGC